AGACUGCCGGUGAGUAAAUCGGAGAAGGUGGGGACGACGUCAAAUCAUCAUGCCCUUUAUGUCCUGGGCUACACACGUACUACAAUGGCCGUUACAACGGGAAGCGAAGGAGCAAUCCGGAGCAAAUCCCUUAAAGGCGGUCCCAGUUCAGAUUGUGGGCUGAAACUCGCCCACAUGAAGGCGGAAUUGCUAGUAAUUGCAGAUCAGCAUGCUGCAGUGAAUACGUUCCCGGGCCUU
This 237-nucleotide ribosomal RNA is filed under the name uncultured Oscillospiraceae bacterium. RNAcentral's name for it is "partial 16S ribosomal RNA". It matches the Rfam family "Bacterial small subunit ribosomal RNA", at positions 1146 to 1382 of the family's 1533-position model. Lineage: Bacteria; Bacillati; Bacillota; Clostridia; Eubacteriales; Oscillospiraceae. The record is from RNAcentral.